RNAcentral lists this long non-coding RNA (742 nucleotides) under Equus asinus (donkey). Its description in RNAcentral is "lncRNA (ENSEASG00005029081.1)". Lineage: Eukaryota; Metazoa; Chordata; Mammalia; Perissodactyla; Equidae. The record is from RNAcentral.
UGGCAACUGGGCCAGCAUCUGACACCUGGCAGUUCUUGGGAAAUACCUGCACACGAAUGGAGGCAAGGCCUCUCUCCAGGGGAGGACGCUGAAGAGGUGAAAAGUGAGCCUCCUGCUCUCCCUUUGAGGCAAUUUGGCAUAGCCUGGGUUCUCAGAUCAGACGGAAGUGGGUUCAGUUCUCGGCUCGGAGCCACCUUAGACUGCUGGUUGAAAUACCUCUGGGCCUGUUCCUGCCUCUGGACAGUGGGAAGGCCGCUACAGGAGGCGAGAGGGACACCUAACCUCAUCUCCGCUGGGCACAGAGACGGCUUCUCAGAAGAAGCGAUAUCUACACAAAGUCCUAAAGACCAAGGGGUCAGUGUGGACCAUGAGGACUGAAGAUGGGGUUGAAGAAUGGAGGAGAAUAAUUGAAAGCAGCAACUGGAACAGAUAUUUGUACAUCUCUAUUUAUUUGCAGCAUUGUUCAGAACAGGCGAAAGGCACAGCACUGAGUGCUGGAGAUGCAAGAAUCCAUCCAACCAACGCAGGCAGAUGGCAACAAGUGCCAGGAGGAACACGCAUCAGGGCAAGGGGAGAGGCGUCCCUGGCCAUGGCUGGCGAAGGGUAGUGGCAAGUGUCUCAUUGAACAUGGAGCCGUGUGGGCAUUUGAGUCCCGGAAGGGGCCAGCCUGGGAGUCCUGAGUCUCUUGUGGUGACCAACAUAAAUAAAGAUAAAGGUGCUUCUGCCUCCUCUUCCCUUCCUG